RNAcentral lists this small RNA (539 nucleotides) under Pan troglodytes (chimpanzee). RNAcentral's name for it is "processed transcript". The record is from RNAcentral. Lineage: Eukaryota; Metazoa; Chordata; Mammalia; Primates; Hominidae.
CCAACCCUAUGACUCUGGGUUCUGGAGAGGUGAAAGAGCAUCUCCAGGUGGCUCAAAGCUGUGGCUCCAGGUACUACUCCUCCAGGCGGGCUGCUCCCUGGGGCACAUGUUCUCAGUCCACCAGUGGGCCAUGCCACAUCAACCCACCUGCUUCCUGGCACGUGGGAUGCACAGCCCGUGACCUUGGACCCAGCAGUAGGCAGCAUGCUUUCCAGUUUUGAAGGCAAGGACAGAGGUAUACAGGGCACUACUUGAGAUCCUGUCUGAUUUAGAAUUUUGUAGGACGGAUUCCUGUUGUUGAACACAUUGAGUGAUGAGAAACUUGGCAAAUCUUGUUGGCAAAUCUCUCACCUUGAUUCCCUUUGGCAUCCUUUGUGUCUGUCUGAUCCUUCCAGCCUGGUCUUUGGAUAGCAGGUACCCACUUCUUAGGAUGUGCCAGACACCACGUUUCAAGCCACAGUCGAGGAAGGAGCUGUGGGAGUUAUUGUCAAUUUGACAGUUGAAGAUAAGGAUGACCCCACCACAGGUGCAUGGAGGGC